UUUUCUUUUUCACAGGUUUUGAUAAAUCUCCCCCCAGUGUUUUUGGCAAAAAUGCCACAAAGACGGCAUCUUGGGAGAAAAGAAAUGAGGGGGCAGUUUUUUGUGAUGCUUUUUAUUUUUGGCCAAAAAAAAAAAACCUCAAACAAAAAUGUAGUCGUUUUUUAAAGGAGCACUGCAGCUGUAUAUAACUUAUCCGCAGGAUAGGGGAUAGUGUUUGACCACUGGGGGUGCGACCGUUGGGACCCCCUGUGAUCUCCCAUACUGGACCCGGCACUGCCACGGCUCCGCACGGCUAGUCCUCGUGUUGUCGGUCUCAGUGAGGUCGGCGACAUGAGCACUAGCCGCGCAGAGGUCAGACCUCCCCCGCAAUCAAACACUUAUCCCCUAUUUCCUUUAAAGCUCAAAUUGCUGCUGGGCAUGCUGGGAAUUGUAGUUUUGCAACAGCUGGACAGCCACAGGGGAUCACUGAUGUUGUAUGUCAAUCCCGCCCCCAUGCUGCCUGAUCUUGUACUGGCAGCAGGAGCCACAACCACUUUAAAUCAAUGAGCAAGAUGGACGUCUGAAGAGGGAUGUUUUUCUGCUCCACACCGCAGCGUCAGGGGCUUCACUCGUCUGACGUCCCAGCAGCCAUCGAUGCUCAUUGAGCCUCCCGGUGCCGCACCGAUCUGUGUAAGAAACCUAUGGGCCCAGGCUGUUGGGGCCACCAAAUGAUAUUACAAAUACUGAGUGUCUGGUUAGGUGAAACAAAUAUAUAACGCACCCAUGGAGAGUAGCGCCAUUUUAAUAAAAAUUGCCAAAAAUCCCUUAGAUUACAGUCAUGCAGAAUAUGUUAAAAAGCUUUUUGGGAUUUCAGCCAAUCAGAGAGCAGCACUACUCAAAUAGAACUCCCAGGAGGAGCAGCGUGUCACACAUGUGAUGUCAUAACUACUUUGCCACCAGAGAGCAGCACUGAGCAGAAAUAACACGGCUCCUGCUCAUUGUUCAUCAGUCAGGGGCCGAUGCUGGACACUGUACCAGGGAAUGGAGACUCAUACACGACUGUGACUGAUGCACUAUUUCCAGACGUGGAGUCGCAUUUCUAGACGUACAGCAAAAAGUUGGAUGAAGGCAUAGCCCCUGGAAUCACGCACAUACACAGACACUUUGCCCAAAUUCUAGAGGUAACCUCCUUUAGUAUGCCCAGAGGAAGGGCAGUACAGUAGCCAUGGAUUCCCUACAGGUUUCCUCCCCUCUGGAGGUUUUUCCUGUCCUGAGUAUUAGUUACUGUACGCUCUUAGUGAGUGAUGGAGGUUACAUAAAAUCCCUACACAAACAUUGUAAUAAAUAAUAAAUAAAGUUCCCCUUUUAAAAGUU
Long non-coding RNA from Hyla sarda, 1353 nucleotides. RefSeq lists it as uncharacterized. The record is from RefSeq and is a predicted model, not a curated record. Lineage: Eukaryota; Metazoa; Chordata; Amphibia; Anura; Hylidae. The transcript has 2 exons.